UUUACGGAGAGUUUGAUUCUGGCUCAGAACGAACGCUGGCGGCGUGUUUAAGACAUGCAAGUCGCACGGUGUCAUUUAUGUAGCAAUACUUGGAUGGCACAGUGGCGCACGGGUGAGUAACACGUGAAUGACAUGCCCUUGAGUGGGGAAUAGCCCAGGGAAACUUGGAUUAAUACCCCAUGGCAUCGCGAGAUUAAAGGCGGCCGCAAGGCUGUCGCUCAAGGAUUGGUUCGCGUUCUAUCAGCUUGUUGGCGGGGUAACGGCCCACCAAGGCUACGACGGAUACCUGGUCUGAGAGGACGAUCAGGCACACUGGAACUGAGACACGGUCCAGACACCUACGGGUGGCAGCAGUCGAGAAUAAUUCACAAUGGGGGCAACCCUGAUGGUGCAACGCCGCGUGGAGGAUGACGGUCUUCGGAUUGUAAACUCCUGUCAUCNNNNNNNNNUGUUAAACUCCUGUCAUCCGGGAGUAAGACCUGGGAGUUAAUAGCUCACAGGGUUGAUAGUACCGGAAGAGGAAGGGACGGCUAACUUCGUGCCAGCAGCCGCGGUAAUACGAAGGUCCCGAGCGUUGUUCGGAAUCACUGGGCGUAAAGGGAGCGUAGGCGGCGUGGUAAGUCAGACGUGAAAUCCCGGGGCUCAACCCCGGAACUGCGUCCGAUACUGCCAUGCUUUGAGGGUUGGAGAGGUAGCUGGAAUUCUUGGUGUAGCAGUGAAAUGCGUGGAUAUCAAGAGGAACACUCGUGGCGAAAGCGAGCUACUGGACAACACCUGACGCUGAGGCUCGAAGGCCAGGGGAGCGAAAGGGAUUAGAUACCCCUGUAGUCCUGGCAGUAAACGGUGCACGCUUGGUGUGAGGGGAUUCGACCCCCCUCGUGCCGGAGCAAACGCGUUAAGCGUGCCGCCUGGGAAGUACGGUCGCAAGACUAAAACUCAAAGAAAUUGACGGGGACCCGCACAAGCGGUGGAGUAUGUGGCUUAAUUCGAUGCAACGCGAAGAACCUUACCUGGGCUUGACAUGGAUUUCUAAGCACGUGAAAGCGUGUGACCCUUCGGGGAACUUCCACAGGUGCUGCAUGGCCGUCGUCAGCUCGUGUCGUGAGAUGUUGGGUUAAGUCCCGCAACGAGCGCAACCCUUGUGAUCAGUUGCCAGCGCGUCAUGGCGGGAACUCUGGUCAGACUGCCCAGAUCAACUGGGAGGAAGGUGGGGACGACGUCAGGUCAGUAUGGCCCUUACGCCCAGGGCUGCACACGUACUACAAUGCCCAGUACAAUGAGAACCGAUGCCGCGAGGUGGAGGAAAUCUGUAAAACUGGGCCCAGUUCGGAUUGGAGGCUGCAACUCGCCUCCAUGAAGUUGGAAUCGCUAGUAAUGGCGCAUCAUCUACGGCGCCGUGAAUACGUUCCCGGGUCUUGUACACACCGCCCGUCACAUCAUGGAAGCCGGUUUCACCCGAAGUGCCUGUAUCAACCGCAAGGAGACAGGGCCCUAAGGUGUGGCUGGUAACUGGGAUGAAGUCGUAACAAGGUAGCCGUAGGGGAACCUGCGGCUGGAUCACCUCCUUU
Oikopleura dioica is the source of this 1568-nucleotide ribosomal RNA. It matches the Rfam family "Bacterial small subunit ribosomal RNA". The record is from Rfam. Lineage: Eukaryota; Metazoa; Chordata; Appendicularia; Copelata; Oikopleuridae.